This 494-nucleotide ribosomal RNA is filed under the name uncultured bacterium. Its description in RNAcentral is "partial 16S ribosomal RNA". It matches the Rfam family "Bacterial small subunit ribosomal RNA", at positions 28 to 507 of the family's 1533-position model. The record is from RNAcentral.
GACGAACGCUGGCGGCGUGCUUAACACAUGCAAGUCGAACGGUGAAGCGCCUUCCUUUUUGGUGGGUGUGGAUGAGUGGCGAACGGGUGAGUAACACGUGGGUAACCUGCCCCCUUCUUCUGGAUAACCGCAUGAAAGUGUGGCUAAUACGGGAUAUUCUGGGUCUGUCGCAUGAUGGGUCUGGGAAAGAUAUUGUUUCGGUGGGGGAUGGGCUCGCGGCCUAUCAGCUUGUUGGUGGGGUGAUGGCCUACCAAGGCGGUGACGGGUAGCCGGCCUGAGAGGGUGGACGGUCACACUGGGACUGAGACACGGCCCAGAUUCCUACGGGAGGCAGCAGUGGGGAAUAUUGCACAAUGGGCGCAAGCCUGAUGCAGCGACGCCGCGUGAGGGAUGGAGGCCUUCGGGUUGUGAACCUCUUUCGCCAGUGAAGCAGGCCUGCCUCGUUUGUGGGUGGGUUGACGGUAGCUGGAUAAGAAGCGCCGGCUAACUACGUG